GACGAACGCUGGCGGCGUGCUUAACACAUGCAAGUCGAACGAAGUGGCGAACGGGUGAGUAACCCGUAAUCAACCUGCCCUUCAGAGGGGGACAACAGUAGGAAACGACUGCUAAUACCGCAUACUGAAGGAGGGGAUUGCGUUUGAGUUGCUCGUUGGAGGGGUAACGGCCCACCAAGGCGAGGAUCAGUAGCCGGGCCGAGAGGAGUAACGGCACACAUGGGAAUUAGACCCGGCCCAGACUCGGACGGGAGGGAGCAGUGGGGAAUCUUCCGCAAUGGACGAAAGGCUGAAUGAGCACAGCCGCGUGAGGGAUGACGGCCUUCGGGUUUUAAAGCUCUGUUAAGCGGGACGCGGUACCGGAAUAGAAAGCCACGGCUAACUACGUGCCAGCAGCCGCAGUAAUUC
This 408-nucleotide ribosomal RNA is filed under the name uncultured bacterium. RNAcentral describes it as "partial 16S ribosomal RNA". It matches the Rfam family "Bacterial small subunit ribosomal RNA", at positions 28 to 526 of the family's 1533-position model. The record is from RNAcentral.